CAAGCCUUGGCCAGGGUGGUCCAAGGUGCUUCCAGAGGGACUUCAGGCACAUCCAACGUGGUCCAGUGUGGUCUAAGGCUUGUCUGGUGGGACCUGAGGCACAUCCAGGGUGAUCCAGUCACCCAAGGCUUCUCCAGAGGGACCUGAGGCACGUCCAGGGUGGUCCAAGGCUCGUCCAGAGGGACCUGAGGCACAUCCAGCGUGAUCCAGAGUCACCCAGGGCUUCUCCAGUGGGACCUGAGGCACAUCCAGCGUGAUCCAGAGUCACCCAAGGCUCGUCCAGAGGGACCUGAGGCACGUCUGGUGGGACCUGAGGCACGUCCAGUGUGGCCCAAGGCUUGUCCAGAGUCACCCAAGGCUCAUCCAGUGGGACCUGAGGCACAUCCAGGGUGGCCCAAGGCUUGUCCGGGGUGGCCCAAGGCUCGUCCAGUGGGACCUGAGGCACGUCCAGUGUGGUCCAAGGCUCAUCCAGAGGGACCUGAGGCACAUCCAGCAUGAUCCAGAGUCACCCAAGGCUUCUCCAGAGGGACCUGAGGCAUGUCCAGCGUGAUCCAAGGCUCGUCCAGAGGGACCUGAGGCACAUCCUCAGGGUGGCCAGGGUGGUCCAAACCUUGGCCAGGGUGGCCCAAGCCUUGGCCAGGGUGGUCCAAGGCACUUCCAGAGGGACCUAAGGCACGUCCAGCGUGAUCCAGAGUCGCCCAAGCCUUGGCCAGGGUGGUCCAAGGCGCUUCCAGUGGGACUUCAGGCACAUCCAGCGUGGUCCAGUGUGGCCCAAGGCUCAUCCAGAGGGACCUGAGGCACGUCCAGUGUGAUCCAGUGUGGCCCAAGGCUUGUCCAGGGUGGCCCAAGGCUUGUCCAGGGUGGUCCAAGGCUCAUCCAGUGGGACCUGAGGCAUGUCCAGUGUGAUCCAGGGUGGCCCAAGCCUUGGCCAGGGUUGUCCAAACCUUGGCCAGGGUGGCCCAGGGCUUGGCCAGUAGGACCUGAGGCACAUCCAGCGUGGUCCAGAGUAGCCCAAGCCUUGGCCAGGGUGGCCCAAGGCUCAUCCAGAGGGACCUGAGGCACAUCCAGUGUGGUCCAGGGUGGCCCAAGGCACUUCCAGAGGGACCUGAGGCACGUCCAGUGUGAUCCAGUGUGGCCCAAGGCUCGUCCAGGGUGGCCCAAGGCUCAUCCAGGGUGGUCCAAGGCUUGUCCAGGGUGGUCCAAGGCUCAUCCAGAGGGAACCUGUGGCACGUCCAGCGUGGUCCGGAGUCGCCCAAGGCUCGUCCAGCACAUCCCAAGGCUCAUCCAGCACAUCCCAAGGCUCGUCCAGGCUGACCCGAAGCCCGUCCCAUCAGCCCCAGGUUGAUCCAGGGUGGUCCGUGGUAGCCCAGGGCUCGUCUGGUCUGGCCCAGCGAGGCCGGGGGCUCAUCCAGGAGAUCCCAACACUCAUCCCAGGAGAUCCCAACACU
This 1448-nucleotide long non-coding RNA is filed under the name Manacus vitellinus (golden-collared manakin). RNAcentral's name for it is "lncRNA (ENSMVIG00005009549.1)". Lineage: Eukaryota; Metazoa; Chordata; Aves; Passeriformes; Pipridae. The record is from RNAcentral.